RNAcentral lists this ribosomal RNA (862 nucleotides) under Escherichia coli. RNAcentral's name for it is "bacterial LSU rRNA". It matches the Rfam family "Bacterial large subunit ribosomal RNA", at positions 763 to 1625 of the family's 2925-position model. Lineage: Bacteria; Pseudomonadati; Pseudomonadota; Gammaproteobacteria; Enterobacterales; Enterobacteriaceae. The record is from RNAcentral.
UAACUGGAGGACCGAACCGACUAAUGUUGAAAAAUUAGCGGAUGACUUGUGGCUGGGGGUGAAAGGCCAAUCAAACCGGGAGAUAGCUGGUUCUCCCCGAAAGCUAUUUAGGUAGCGCCUCGUGAAUUCAUCUCCGGGGGUAGAGCACUGUUUCGGCAAGGGGGUCAUCCCGACUUACCAACCCGAUGCAAACUGCGAAUACCGGAGAAUGUUAUCACGGGAGACACACGGCGGGUGCUAACGUCCGUCGUGAAGAGGGAAACAACCCAGACCGCCAGCUAAGGUCCCAAAGUCAUGGUUAAGUGGGAAACGAUGUGGGAAGGCCCAGACAGCCAGGAUGUUGGCUUAGAAGCAGCCAUCAUUUAAAGAAAGCGUAAUAGCUCACUGGUCGAGUCGGCCUGCGCGGAAGAUGUAACGGGGCUAAACCAUGCACCGAAGCUGCGGCAGCGACGCUGAUGCGUUGUUGGGUAGGGGAGCGUUCUGUAAGCCUGCGAAGGUGUGCUGUGAGGCAUGCUGGAGGUAUCAGAAGUGCGAAUGCUGACAUAAGUAACGAUAAAGCGGGUGAAAAGCCCGCUCGCCGGAAGACCAAGGGUUCCUGUCCAACGUUAAUCGGGGCAGGGUGAGUCGACCCCUAAGGCGAGGCCGAAAGGCGUAGUCGAUGGGAAACAGGUUAAUAUUCCUGUACUUGGUGUUACUGCGAAGGGGGGACGGAGAAGGCUAUGUUGGCCGGGCGACGGUUGUCCCGGUUUAAGCGUGUAGGCUGGUUUUCCAGGCAAAUCCGGAAAAUCAAGGCUGAGGCGUGAUGACGAGGCACUACGGUGCUGAAGCAACAAAUGCCCUGCUUCCAGGAAAAGCCUCUAAG